Cygnus olor (mute swan) is the source of this 2324-nucleotide long non-coding RNA. RefSeq lists it as uncharacterized. NCBI's taxonomy places the organism in Eukaryota, Metazoa, Chordata, Aves, Anseriformes, Anatidae. The transcript is spliced from 3 exons. The record is from RefSeq and is a predicted model, not a curated record.
GAAUAAGUAUUUCAAACAGGUGUGUGCAAUUCAAACUGUACCAUGCCUACAAAUUAUUAUACUGCUUGUUUCUACAGUAUCUGUUGUGGCCUCUCCUUUUUGUUAGUGAACACUGGAAACUUCAUGCAAGGAAGAUCUGCCAUGGACAUUUCUCAGUGCAGCCUUACACAGCCAGGUGCAGAACACUGAAGGAAGUGUGGUCUUUGUUCACUGCCGCUGUCUGAGGAGGCGUGCGGUAUUCACCCCCACCGCUGCGGAUUUAGAAGUACAUCCUUCAGCUGGAGGGAUUCCACAAGAGGAGCCCUGAUCUGGAUGAGCCGUGUGAGAGACACACCAGUGGAUGGAGCUGCAGCCACCCAACUGUGUGCCCACCGAGACAUUAAUAACAGGGAAUGAGAUGUGACAGUCCUGACAGGAGAUUCAGGUGGACAAAAUGUAUGUGCCUAAAGAGUUCCUGCAUGGUGGAUAGGAGUGUGGGAAGAGAGAAAAUAAUUCCCUGAGAAAGGGCUUUGAGGAUGCUGUCAAAGUAACUGGGCAGACAGGAAGCAAGAGCUAGGCGAUUUUUAAUAGUAACAGUGUGCUUUGGUCAGGAAAUAAUAAAAUCUCUCUCAGAAGCAGAGAUGCUUUAAACUCUUCAGUAAAGUAUUUUUAUUCUGCCAGGACUGCUGUCGACAGACCUGGGCAGGUGCAGAAGAGAAGGGACGGGCGAUCUGCCUGUUCCCAGAGCCGUGCCCCUGCCCUCACCCUGUUGCCUGAGCGCCCUUCUUGUACAGAAGCCUGAACAGCUCCUAGGGUCACCGUCUGUUUCUAAAACAAAUCUUAAAGAGGCUCUUUUAUCAUUUUGGUUUAAUCUGAUACCUGCUCCAGUAUUUCCAUAUGAAACAUGGAGAGGGAACAAAUGAAGCGGUGCCAUGAGAACAAUCAUUGUUUUUCCCAACAUAUAGGAACCUGUAAAACUCAAUGAGGAAGUUACUAUGAUAGAAGUUGUACCUUAAAAACAAACUCAUGAUGUUUGUUAAUAAUCAGGCUAGAGAGGAAUAAUAGUUUCUGAGAGGUGUGGUAUAUGUUUAAGUAAUACAUUCUUGUAAAGCACCUUAAUGCCAUCUCUGUGUUCUUUAUAAUGCCCCUAUUGCUUGCAGCGCGCUACAAACUCCUGCAUGCUGUGCUGAUCUCACUGCUCUUCUCUCAUUCUGUUACCUCCAGAACAGUUCAGCAGUAAGGAUCUUCAGCAAGGGAAAGGUACUCCUUCGGCUGUGCGAGAAGAGCAACCCUUUUCCCUUCCCAGGACAGCUUGCCUUCCUGUGCUUUAAUCAAGUAAAAUCUCAGUGAAAUUGGGUUAAGAAGCAAAAAAUUACUAGUAACUCUGGUGUGUUAACAGAUAUAUCUGGAGGUUACAUUCUGUUGAAUAAAAUUGCUGAAUAACAUUAGUUACAAAAACAACCUGGCUGUACCCUAAGUAUUUAUUUAUUAGAGCCAGAGGUGUAGUCAUCCAGAUUAAGCAGCUUCACAAAUCUCUGUCUCUGUUAUUUUUAGGGCACUAAUAAGAAGAAAUCUGGCUGCAGUAAAAAGAUGAGACAGUCUGUUAAAACCACAAUUUAAGUGAGCUGCUAAUGGUACAGUUUGCAAUCAAGAUUACUUCUCAAUUAGUCAUUUAUACACCCUUUAAUUUUUCUAUUUCAUUGCAUUAAGCAAGAGGGAAUAAGUGUUACCUGCUGCAACACUUACUCUAUAUUUCAAUGUAAAGAUUUUUCUGUCGAUUGCAAAUAAUUAUGGUUCAGAGAGUUUGUCUCAUACCUUAAUCUGUGCUGAGAGUAUGCAAAUGGCUAAUAAUAUGAAUGAUGCAAACCAGAAACAUGUGUUUUCACAUUUUUUAACAUUUUUUACAUUUCCCAGAUUUAUUUACCUUCUUUUUGAAAUCCAUGGAGAAAGAACUGAGAAAAAGUACAAAUGUUUAUACAGAUUUGUAUAGAAAGGAAAUCCAUGUGCUGUCAUGAUGUGCCUAAGCUGCUUAAAUAUUCACUCAAAUACAAAGAAAACAACUGUCUACAUGUCAAAACUAGCAAUUUAUUGAGCUAAGAGAAUGUUUACAUGUAACUUACUCCAAAAUACUGCUACAACUUCAAAAAUGUCAUGGUGAUAGAGAACGAUGUUACUGUAAUGUAGUAAAUUCAAUUAUCAUUAGAGCAAGAUAUAUCAGAAGCUAGAGAUGAAUAGAACAUUCCUAUAUUAUUGUAGUUUUAUAAAUAAUGCAUGUUAAUCAUUUUAGGUAUUUAGGGCUACCACUGCUGGCUGGUACUCCUGCUUCAUGGAUGACUUUCCUGAAG